Molecule: ribosomal RNA, 253 nt
Filed under: uncultured bacterium
Lineage: Bacteria
Description: partial 16S ribosomal RNA
Rfam family: Bacterial small subunit ribosomal RNA
Source: RNAcentral
UACGUAGGGUGCAAGCGUUGUCCGGAAUUAUUGGGCGUAAAGAGUUCGUAGGCGGUUUGUCGCGUCGUUCGUGAAAACUUGGGGCUUAACUCCAAGCGUGCGGGCGAUACGGGCGGACUUGAGUACUACAGGGGAGACUGGAAUUCCUGGCGUAGCGGUGAAAUGCGCAGAUAUCAGGAGGAACACCGGUGGCGAAGGCGGGUCUCUGGGUAGUAACUGACGCUGAGGAACGAAAGCGUGGGUAGCGAACAGG